UACAGAGGUCCCAAGCGUUGUUCGGAUUCACUGGGCGUAAAGGGUGCGCAGGUGGUCGGGUAAGUCUGAUGUGAAAUCCCGCAGCUCAACUGCGGAAUGGCAUUGGAUACUAUUUGGCUAGAGGGUUGGAGGGGGGACUGGAAUUCUCGGUGUAGCAGUGAAAUGCGUAGAUAUCGUAAGGAAGACCAGUGGCGAAGGCGGGUCUCUGGACAGUUCCUGACGCUGAGGCACGAAGGCCAGGGGAGCAAACGGG
Molecule: ribosomal RNA, 253 nt
Filed under: uncultured bacterium
Lineage: Bacteria
Description: partial 16S ribosomal RNA
Rfam family: Bacterial small subunit ribosomal RNA
Source: RNAcentral